GACGAACGCUGGCGGCGUGCCUAAUACAUGCAAGUAGAACGCUGAAGGAGGAGCUUGCUUCUCCGGAUGAGUUGCGAACGGGUGAGUAACGCGUAGGUAACCUGCCUGGUAGCGGGGGAUAACUAUUGGAAACGAUAGCUGAUACCGCAUAAGAGUAGAUGUUGCAUGACAUUUGCUUAAAAGGUGCAAUUGCAUCACUACCAGAUGGACCUGCGUUGUAUUAGCUAGUUGGUGGGGUAACGGCUCACCAAGGCGACGAUACAUAGCCGACCUGAGAGGGUGAUCGGCCACACUGGGACUGAGACACGGCCCAGACUCCUACGGGAGGCAGCAGUAGGGAAUCUUCGGCAAUGGACGGAAGUCUGACCGAGCAACGCCGCGUGAGUGAAGAAGGUUUUCGGAUCGUAAAGCUCUGUUGUAAGAGAAGAACGAGUGUGAGAGUGGAAAGUUCACACUGUGACGGUAUUUUACCAGAAAGGGACGGCUAACUACGUG
RNAcentral lists this ribosomal RNA (495 nucleotides) under uncultured bacterium. Its description in RNAcentral is "partial 16S ribosomal RNA". It matches the Rfam family "Bacterial small subunit ribosomal RNA", at positions 28 to 507 of the family's 1533-position model. The record is from RNAcentral.